This 467-nucleotide ribosomal RNA is filed under the name uncultured bacterium. RNAcentral describes it as "partial 16S ribosomal RNA". It matches the Rfam family "Bacterial small subunit ribosomal RNA", at positions 28 to 506 of the family's 1533-position model. The record is from RNAcentral.
GACGAACGCUGGCGGCGUGCUUAACACAUGCAAGUCGAACGGAAAGGCCCUGCUUUUGUGGGGUGCUCGAGUGGCGAACGGGUGAGUAACACGUGAGUAACCUGCCCUUGACUUUGGGAUAACUUCAGGAAACUGGGGCUAAUACCGGAUAGGAGCUCCUGCUGCAUGGUGGGGGUUGGAAAGUUUCGGCGGUUGGGGAUGGACUCGCGGCUUAUCAGCUUGUUGGUGGGGUAGUGGCUUACCAAGGCUUUGACGGGUAGCCGGCCUGAGAGGGUGACCGGCCACAUUGGGACUGAGAUACGGCCCAGACUCCUACGGGAGGCAGCAGUGGGGAAUAUUGCACAAGGGGCGGAAGCCUGAUGCAGCAACGCCGCGUGCGGGAUGACGGCCUUCGGGUUGUAAACCGCUUUCGCCUGUGACGAAGCGUGAGUGACGGUAAUGGGUAAAGAAGCACCGGCUAACUACGC